UACGUAGGGUGCAAGCGUUAAUCGGAAUUACUGGGCGUAAAGCGUGCGCAGGCGGUGAUGUAAGACAGAUGUGAAAUCCCCGGGCUCAACCUGGGAACUGCAUUUGUGACUGCAUCGCUGGAGUGCGGCAGAGGGGGGUGGAAUUCCACGUGUAGCAGUGAAAUGCGUAGAGAUGUGGAGGAACACCGAUGGCGAAGGCAGCCCCCUGGGCUAACACUGACGCUCAUGCACGAAAGCGUGGGGAGCAAACAGG
This 253-nucleotide ribosomal RNA is filed under the name uncultured bacterium. RNAcentral describes it as "partial 16S ribosomal RNA". It matches the Rfam family "Bacterial small subunit ribosomal RNA", at positions 524 to 776 of the family's 1533-position model. The record is from RNAcentral.